RNAcentral lists this transfer RNA (68 nucleotides) under Diploderma splendidum. RNAcentral's name for it is "tRNA-Gly". Lineage: Eukaryota; Metazoa; Chordata; Lepidosauria; Squamata; Agamidae. The record is from RNAcentral.
ACAACCCUAGUAUAACAAAUACAGUUAACUUCCAAUUAUCGAAUCUUAGCAACUCCUAAGGGGUAGUA